This 626-nucleotide long non-coding RNA is filed under the name Elaeis guineensis (African oil palm). RNAcentral describes it as "long non-coding RNA (EGUI_LNC016474)". Lineage: Eukaryota; Viridiplantae; Streptophyta; Magnoliopsida; Arecales; Arecaceae. The record is from RNAcentral.
UCGGUGCUGAUGAAGCAGCUAUCCGACCCCUCUUCGACAGUCGGGAGGUCCAGCUUCGGAUGCUGCCUUCUUCUUGGCAACAUGCUGACGAAUAUCGACGGUCGAUACUCAUGUCCUCAACUGCAUAGCUGCAAUCAAAAUAAAAAAAUCAGUAUAGUUCAGAAAUAAACAAAAGAAAAAUAAAAGUGAUCGAUUAAGAUAUACCUAAGGAAGUGAUCGAACUAAGACCGACAUCGUAGAGAGCUUGUUCGAUCAUCAGCACUCUCUGUGGCGGUACUGUCAUAUCCUUUAGCCAGUGAAAAUCCUUCUGAUCGUCGACCUCCACCUGACUAUUCUCAUUGGGGCCGAUCCUUGGAUCAUCCCAACGUGAAGGAAAGCCCCAAGGAAGAGAAGAAGAAGCAAAAAAGAAUUGGUUCUUUCAUCCAUGAAUGGAUGAUGGAAGAUCGGUGAUGAAGGAAAAACCUUUUCUUGGGUUGAAGAACCACCAAUCCUUGGCCUUAGGAUGGGGACGAAAAAUAAAGAAAGUGCUAAAAAGAGAAGGAUAAGGUUCAGUCGGUAUUAACUGACAUAGCAAAGCAAAAGUAAUUAUCAGUCGGAUCGAAUUCGAUGCCAGCUGAGCAGGACAA